RNAcentral lists this ribosomal RNA (650 nucleotides) under uncultured bacterium. Its description in RNAcentral is "bacterial SSU rRNA". It matches the Rfam family "Bacterial small subunit ribosomal RNA", at positions 63 to 707 of the family's 1533-position model. The record is from RNAcentral.
UUUGCGUCGGGUAGAGCUUGCUCUUUGCCGACGAGCGGCGGACGGGUGCGUAACACGUAGGAAUCUGCCUGGUAGUGGGGGAUAGCCCGGAGAAAUCCGGAUUAAUACCGCAUACGCCCUACGGGGGAAAGCAGGGGAUCUUCGGACCUUGCGCUAUCAGAUGAGCCUGCGUCGGAUUAGCUGGUUGGUGGGGUAAAGGCCUACCAAGGCGACGAUCCGUAGCUGGUCUGAGAGGAUGAUCAGCCACACUGGGACUGAGACACGGCCCAGACUCCUACGGGAGGCAGCAGUGGGGAAUAUUGCACAAUGGGCGAAAGCCUGAUGCAGCCAUGCCGCGUGUGUGAAGAAGGCCCUAGGGUUGUAAAGCACUUUCAGUGGGGAGGAAAGGUUGAAGGUUAAUACCCUUCAGCUGUGACGUUACCCACAGAAGAAGCACCGGCUAACUCCGUGCCAGCAGCCGCGGUAAUACGGAGGGUGCGAGCGUUAAUCGGAAUUACUGGGCGUAAAGCGUGCGUAGGCGGCUACCUAAGUUGGAUGUGAAAGCCCCGGGCUCAACCUGGGAACUGCAUCCAAAACUGGGUGGCUAGAGUACGGGAGAGGAGUGUGGAAUUUCCUGUGUAGCGGUGAAAUGCGUAGAUAUAGGAAGGAAC